This 61-nucleotide transfer RNA is filed under the name Neoachiropsetta milfordi. RNAcentral's name for it is "tRNA-Cys". Lineage: Eukaryota; Metazoa; Chordata; Actinopteri; Pleuronectiformes; Rhombosoleidae. The record is from RNAcentral.
AGCUCUGAAUUUUACACAGAUUGCAAAUCUGAGGAAGCAGGUUAAUCGCCUGCCAGGGCUU